Long non-coding RNA from Engraulis encrasicolus (European anchovy), 598 nucleotides. RefSeq lists it as uncharacterized. The transcript is spliced from 5 exons. Lineage: Eukaryota; Metazoa; Chordata; Actinopteri; Clupeiformes; Engraulidae. The record is from RefSeq and is a predicted model, not a curated record.
GGGGUCCUAGCUGCGUUGCCCUGGUAACAACUGUAAACAAAAGGCUGCGGUUAACUGCUCCGCUCCCUGACAGGAUUUUUCAUUCAUUCGUGCCAAUGAAACAGGAGGCCUCGAUUCGUGCAGAAGAUAAGGUUUGAAACCCAGACAGCACGAAGCAUCUUGCCGACGUCAAAAUCAGAUCAACAGACAGGGACAUCAGCCUUCUCUUGGGAAUAGGCCAGAUAUGCCAUAACAAGAAAUGGUGUUUUGCCCCUGCGGUUGUGAAGAGGAUGCUGUGGAGGUGGCAGCAUGAACGUGUCACACAGACAUUGGCUAAACUACUCGGCUUCUACACUUGCCCUCAGAGUUCACAUAUGGUGAAGUGCACAGGUGUCCAGUCAGGUUCAGACUGAUGCUGGUAACAAGAGGAAAACAUGCUAAUUGAUGACAUUUCCAGCAUGUCCAACUCAUCGGCAUCAUGGGAGAUUCGGUGAAGGUGGUGCACCAUCCAGGACCAGUCAUGGGCCACCAACACGUCUGCAAAAUCUACACUUCUUGUGAACCCUGUAGAAGACACUACAACCACAAAACUGCUAAUAAACCAUCACAUACUGCAUCA